RNAcentral lists this ribosomal RNA (398 nucleotides) under Sphenomorphus sp. steerei 1 CWL-2011. RNAcentral describes it as "partial 12S ribosomal RNA". It matches the Rfam family "Bacterial small subunit ribosomal RNA", at positions 794 to 1396 of the family's 1533-position model. The record is from RNAcentral. Lineage: Eukaryota; Metazoa; Chordata; Lepidosauria; Squamata; Scincidae.
GCUUAGCCCUAAACAUAGACAACAUUAAUACAAUGCUGUCCGCCAGAGAACUACAAGCGAAAAGCUCAAAACUCCAAGGACUUGGCGGUGCUUCAAACCAACCUAGAGGAGCCUGUCCUAUAAUCGAUACCCCACGUUUUACCUUACCGCCCCUAGCCAAUUCAGCCUAUAUACCGCCGUCGCCAGCCUACCUUAUGAAAGCAAUAAAGUAAGCAAAAAAGUUAUUAACUAACACGUCAGGUCAAGGUGUAGCAAACGGGGCGGCAGAGAUGGGCUACAUUUUUUCAAAGAAAAAACACGAACAGAUUGUUGAAAAACACCCUUAAAGGUGGAUUUAGUAGUAAAAUAUAAAAGAAAACAUAUCUUAAACCUGCUCUGAAGCGCGCACACACCGCCCG